GGCCUAUUGGGACUGCGGUAUUAUAACUAUACACGUGUUGAAAGUAUUUAAUAGGUUAAAUGUUUUUCAUUGGUCGAGUUAGAACUGACCAUAAUAUUUGAAUAAGGUCAAUUCAAAUAUUUCGUGCUAUACUUUUUGCGGUUGUGCGAAUUUAAGAUAUUGUCAUUCGAGGUUCGCUUUUGGUGCAGUAACGUUUCCCACCCUCCCACCCCACUUGAUGUAGUUUUCUUAUGUUAUUUUUGUUUCUUGUGAAUAAUGUGUGUAAAAAAUAGAAUCUUUAAAUUGAUUCAUAAUAUGUCUUUGAGUACAUAAUGAUAAUU
RNAcentral lists this long non-coding RNA (320 nucleotides) under Mytilus galloprovincialis (Mediterranean mussel). Lineage: Eukaryota; Metazoa; Mollusca; Bivalvia; Mytilida; Mytilidae. The record is from RNAcentral.